UUGGGUUAAGUCCCGCAACGAGCGCAACCCACGUUUUUAGUUGCCAGCAUUGAGUUGGGCACUCUAGAGAGACUGCCGGUGACAAACCGGAGGAAGGUGUGGAUGACGUCAAGUCAGCAUGCCCCUUACGUUCUGGGCUACACACGUACUACAAUGCUUCGGACAAAGGGCAGCGAGCGCGCGAGUGCAAGCCAAUCCCAUAAACCGAGGCUCAGUUCAGAUUGCAGGCUGCAACUCGCCUGCAUGAAGGCGGAAUCGCUAGUAAUCGCAGGUCAGCAUACUGCGGUGAAUACGUUCCCGGGCCUUGUACACACCGCCCGUCACACCAUGGGAGUUGGCCACGCCCGAAGUCGUUACUCCAACCGUUCGCGGAGGAGGAUGCCGAAGGCAGGGCUGAUGACUGGGGUGAAGUCGUAACAAGGUAACCAAGCCGAAUUC
RNAcentral lists this ribosomal RNA (438 nucleotides) under uncultured cyanobacterium. RNAcentral's name for it is "bacterial SSU rRNA". It matches the Rfam family "Bacterial small subunit ribosomal RNA", at positions 1075 to 1533 of the family's 1533-position model. Lineage: Bacteria; Bacillati; Cyanobacteriota. The record is from RNAcentral.